GAGCCAGUGUGGCAUAGUGGUUUGAGCAUUGGACUAUGACUCUGGAGACCAGGGUUUAAUUCUCAGCUGGGUCA
Phrynosoma platyrhinos (Desert horned lizard) is the source of this 74-nucleotide non-coding RNA. The record is from the annotation of a GenBank genome assembly. Lineage: Eukaryota; Metazoa; Chordata; Lepidosauria; Squamata; Phrynosomatidae.